Molecule: ribosomal RNA, 529 nt
Filed under: uncultured bacterium
Lineage: Bacteria
Description: bacterial SSU rRNA
Rfam family: Bacterial small subunit ribosomal RNA
Source: RNAcentral
AGAGUUUGAUCCUGGCUCAGGAUGAACGCUAGCGGCAGGCCUAAUACAUGCAAGUCGGACGGGAUCCGUCGGAGAGCUUGCUCGAAGACGGUGAGAGUGGCGCACGGGUGCGUAACGCGUGAGCAACCUACCUCUAUCAGGGGGAUAGCCUCUCGAAAGAGAGAUUAACACCGCAUAAUAUCAACAGUUCGCAUGUUCGGUUGAUUAAAUAUUUAUAGGAUAGAGAUGGGCUCGCGUGACAUUAGCUAGUUGGUAGGGUAACGGCUUACCAAGGCGACGAUGUCUAGGGGCUCUGAGAGGAGAAUCCCCCACACUGGUACUGAGACACGGACCAGACUCCUACGGGAGGCAGCAGUAAGGAAUAUUGGUCAAUGGGCGGAAGCCUGAACCAGCCAUGCCGCGUGCAGGAUGACUGCCCUAUGGGUUGUAAACUGCUUUUGUCCAGGAAUAAACCUAUCUACGUGUAGAUAGCUGAAUGUACUGGAAGAAUAAGGAUCGGCUAACUCCGUGCCAGCCGCCGCGGUAAUUC